This 2044-nucleotide long non-coding RNA is filed under the name Jatropha curcas. Its description in RNAcentral is "long non-coding RNA (JCUR_LNC000540)". The record is from RNAcentral. Lineage: Eukaryota; Viridiplantae; Streptophyta; Magnoliopsida; Malpighiales; Euphorbiaceae.
ACGUUCAGCUGGUGUUCCUUUUCUUGAUGCGUAUUUAACUCCAAAUGUUACCUUCAGUCAUGGAGCGAAUUUUGCUGUUUCUGGUUCAACUGCUUUACCUGUAUCUGUUCUAGCCGAAAAGAAAAUUAUAGCUCCAAUCACAAAUAGUUCUCUAAGUGUACAGCUAGAUUGGAUGUUCUCAUACUUUAAAGGAAGAUGUCGCAAUGGUGAAGGUCAGUGAUAAUAUAUAUAUUAAUUUUGAAUUGGUUUUCUUCUUUUUGUUUCAUCUUCUAUUUCUUCCUAGCAUAUUUGUCGCAAGCCCUCUUAAGGAAAACCAAUAUAUAUGUGCGUUUGAUGCAAUUUUUCAAUUAGGCGAUUCAACAUCAGACACAGGCAAUUUGAUUCAAGAGGAUCCUUCAUCAUCAUGUGUUCGGUUUCCUUAUGGCGAAACAUUUUUCAAGAAACCAACAGGGCGAUGCUCAGAUGGAUUGUUGAUCAUUGAUUAUAUUGGUAAGUUAGCUAAUAUCUCACUUUUUUCUUUACAUGUUCUAUUUUUCUGAAACAAAAUAUUGAUAAAUGAGAAUAAAGAAACUCAAGGUUUCUUGAUAGUUGAACCAUAAUAUUUUUGAGAGGAGAAAAACAACAAAAACCCUAAAGAAAAUUGGAGUAUCUUUUGAGAAAAUUUUUUCAUGAAAUUUGGAAAAUAGAGUUUUAAUUUUAUGUCUGUAAAAUUUAGAAAACAAGUUUAAAUUGUUUUCUAUAGUUUCCUUUAUAACUUGUUUGUUUAGAAAGAUAAUCUUUUCAGGCUUUAUAGAUAAUCAUUUUUUCCCCAUUUUUAAUUUGUUUCAAAUAAUGAUGAUUAUCAUGGUACAUGGUGCUAUCUUUUUUUUUUUUAGUCAGCAAAAUCAAUUUAUUUUUUAAUAUACCUGGAAAAACAUAAUUUGUGAUCUUCUCAACAUUCAUUGUGAUUCUGUUAGAGAUGAAAUUAUGAUAUUUAUACUUUUUUAAAUUAAAAAGUUCUAUUAUUUAGAAUUUUUAUUUGGUAAUUUCCUAUUUAUUUUUGGUAGGAGAUCUGCCAUUUAAUAGUCUUUCUAUUUAGUAGUCCUCUAAUUUAGUAGUUUCCUCUUUUAUUUUUGGUACGAGAUGUAUAUUUAUUUGUCUUUCUAUUUAGUAAUCUUCCUAUUUUAUUUUAUUUCAAAAAAUAAAUUAUUUAAUAUAAAUCAAAUAUAAUUAAAAAAUAAUUAAGUAUUUAAUCUAAAUCAAAUAUAAUUAAAGAAUAAUCAAAUAAAAAAUAAUCAAAUCUUUUUCUAAUUCUAUAAUUUUAUUUAGGAAGAAGGCUCAAAUUUCACCUUGAAUAUACAAGAAGCACAUAUUUCACCUUUCUUGAGAAAUUCAUCAUGAACUUGGGCACAAAACUAGAAAACACCUGUAUUUUAUCUUCGUCAACGAGCGUGUCCUUCAAACUCAGCCAAAAGAGAGUGAGAUUAUUGAUAAAUUAUAGAGCACAAAAUUUACAAUAAAAUAAAUAGAAAUUCAACAAUGGCUGAAGUUCAACAAUAACAGAGAUUCAACAAAAUCUUCAACUCAUUAAAAUUAUAACAAAACCAAAACUAAAUCCCAAAGUUAAGCGGAAGAAAAAUUCCUUUGAUUAAGAUCUUCCGACUAAAUUGAAUUAAUUAAAAAAAAAAAAACAUCAUUAGAGAACCCCAAUGGAUAAAAGAAGUUGUAAACUGAUUUUUUUAUUUAAUGAGUUUUAAAUCAAAUUAUAAUUAUUUUUUAUUUUUUUUUAUUUGAUGAUAUAUUUGACCUUUCUUAUUUGAUUUUCAUUUAAUUACAAAUUCUUACAGCACGUUCAGCUGGUGUUCCUUUUCUUGAUGCGUAUUUAACUCCAAAUGUUACCUUCAGUCAUGGAGCGAAUUUUGCUGUUUCUGGUUCAACUGCUUUACCUGUAUCUGUUCUAGCCGAAAAGAAAAUUAUAGCUCCAAUCACAAAUAGUUCUCUAAGUGUACAGCUAGAUUGGAUGUUCUCAUACUUUAAAGGAAGAUGUCGCAAUGGUGAAGGUCAG